UAAUACUCCAUAGAUUAGAGACACUGGAAUGUUCUUUAGUCGAAAGUUCUGGCGCCUUAGGAUGGAUCUGCGGUCGAUUAGGUUGUUGUUGGGGUAACGGCCCAACAAGCCUGUAAUCGAUACGGGUUGUGGGAGCAAGAGCCCGGAGAUGGAAUCUGAGACACGAUUCCAGGCCCUACGGGGCGCAGCAGGCGCGAAAACUUUACAAUGCAGGAAACUGUGAUAAGGGAACUCCGAGUGCCCGUAUACGCGGGCUGUCCAGGUGUUUAAAAAUCAUCUGAAGAAAGGGCCGGGCAAGACCGGUGCCAGCCGCCGCGGUAAUACCGGCGGCUCGAGUGGUGGCCACUAUUAUUGGGCUUAAAGCGUCCGUAGCUGGACCGAUAAGUCUCUUGGGAAAUCCGCCGGCUCAACCGGCGGGCGUCUAAGGGAUACUGUUAGUCUAGGGACCGGGAGAGGUGAGAGGUACUCCGGGGGUAGGAGUGAAAUCCUGUAAUCCCCGGGGGACCACCGAUGGCGAAAUGCAUCUCACCAAAACGGCUCCGACAGUGAGGGACGAAAGCUGGGGGAGCGAACCGGAUUAAAUACCCGGGUAGUCCCAGCCGUAAACUAUGCGCGUUAGGUGU
RNAcentral lists this ribosomal RNA (623 nucleotides) under uncultured archaeon. RNAcentral's name for it is "bacterial SSU rRNA". It matches the Rfam family "Archaeal small subunit ribosomal RNA", at positions 147 to 774 of the family's 1478-position model. The record is from RNAcentral.